RNAcentral lists this ribosomal RNA (492 nucleotides) under uncultured bacterium. RNAcentral describes it as "partial 16S ribosomal RNA". It matches the Rfam family "Bacterial small subunit ribosomal RNA", at positions 29 to 507 of the family's 1533-position model. The record is from RNAcentral.
AGUGAACGCUGGCGGUAUGCCUAACACAUGCAAGUCGAACGGCAGCACAGUAAGAGCUUGCUCUUACGGGUGGCGAGUGGCGGACGGGUGAGGAAUACAUCGGAAUCUACUUUUUCGUGGGGGAUAACGUAGGGAAACUUACGCUAAUACCGCAUACGACCUACGGGUGAAAGCAGGGGAUCUUCUGACCUUGCGCGAUUGAAUGAGCCGAUGUCGGAUUAGCUAGUUGGCGGGGUAAAGGCCCACCAAGGCGACGAUCCGUAGCUGGUCUGAGAGGAUGAUCAGCCACACUGGAACUGAGACACGGUCCAGACUCCUACGGGAGGCAGCAGUGGGGAAUAUUGGACAAUGGGCGCAAGCCUGAUCCAGCCAUACCGCGUGGGUGAAGAAGGCCUUCGGGUUGUAAAGCCCUUUUGUUGGGAAAGAAAAGCAGCAGGUUAAUACCCCGCUGUUCUGACGGUACCCAAAGAAUAAGCACCGGCUAACUUCGUG